Transfer RNA from Sphaerobolus stellatus SS14, 74 nucleotides. It matches the Rfam family "tRNA". Rfam says of the family: Transfer RNA (tRNA) molecules are approximately 80 nucleotides in length. Their secondary structure includes four short double-helical elements and three loops (D, anti-codon, and T loops). Further hydrogen bonds mediate the characteristic L-shaped molecular structure. tRNAs have two regions of fundamental functional importance: the anti-codon, which is responsible for specific mRNA codon recognition, and the 3' end, to which the tRNAs corresponding amino acid is attached (by aminoacyl-tRNA synthetases). tRNAs cope with the degeneracy of the genetic code in two manners: having more than one tRNA (with a specific anti-codon) for a particular amino acid; and 'wobble' base-pairing, i.e. permitting non-standard base-pairing at the 3rd anti-codon position. The record is from Rfam. Lineage: Eukaryota; Fungi; Basidiomycota; Agaricomycetes; Geastrales; Sphaerobolaceae.
GGUCUAUUAGAUCAGUUGGUUAGAGCGUGGUAUUAAUAAUACCAAGAUUACAGGUUCGACCCCUGUAUGGACCA